GCCACAGCCACCACUUGCCUCUCCUAGGACUGAACACACUGCUGAGUCAUCUGACCCCUGUUCAUCCUUUCUUCCUGUCUGGAGGCAAUGGGAGGCCAGAAAAGCAAAGGGAUUUUCUGGGUCCUGGCCCCAGCCCAGCCCUUCCCUUUCUGAGAAAAGCUGGGGGAAGGGGAACGAGUGUUCAGUCAGUUGCAUCAGAAUGCCUUGCACAAGACACUCUCCUGGAUAGACACAGCUCUGCCUCCAGCCUCUACCCCACCCUGCUGACCUUGGACCCCAGUGAGAACUAGGGAGCUGUGCUUGGAACAGGCCACAGGAAGUAAGGACAACAGAGGAAGCAGUCUGUGAUAACCCAAGCUGUGUGUGCUGAGGUAAGGCUGGACUCUGGGGACACAGAGACACUCCAUUCAGAUGGGGUUAGUUCUCCAAAAGCUCAUUAAUAGGCCCUAUGAGAUGGCUUAGAGGGUGAAAGUGCAAGCCUGAUGACCUGAGGUUAAUCCCUGGGACCCAUGUAAAGGUGAGAAGAGAGAACUGACUCCACGAAGCGGUCCUGUGACCUCCACAAGUACCAUGGCACAUGUAUCUCCACAGACAUAUCACACACACACACACACACACACACACACACACACACACACACGCACGCACGCACGCACGCACGCACGCACGCACAAAUACAUAAAUAAAAAUUUAAAUUCCCUCAAUGUAACUAAGGAAUAUGCUAGCUUGCCCCCCCCCACACACACACACACCCACACACACGAGUUGUGUCGCUGGUUUGCUAUCAUGAUCAUGUGACUUACUGGAGCUGUGUUUUUUUAGCUGCUGACCAACAUUUUACUACCUCAGGGGGAAAAAAUUAAAAUUCCAAAUUCUGAGUACAGUUUCCACUGAAUUCAUGUCCCUUUCAAUAUGUGUCCUUUUUUUUGUCCACUGUACAAAUCAAAUCAUCAUAAGUUAGGGGUCAUAUGUUUUGCUUGUUUGUUUAUUUGAGAGACAGGGUUUCAUUAUGUAAAGCUCACUAUGAAGACCUGCCUGACCUGGAAGUGGCACAGAGCUUUCUGCCUUUGGUUCCCAAGUGCUGGGUGUGAAGUUCUGCUGUAUUUAAAGCUGUAAGCAAGAGGGCAUCAACUUUAUUUUCAUUUUAUUUAUUUAUUGUGCUUGGAGACUGACUAUAAAUAGCUGUCUUGUGCAUGGUAAAUGUGUGCUCUGCCAUGAGCCUCUGAGCAAUGGGAUUACAGGUCCUGCUGAUGUUUUAAACUUCUGGUGAGAGAGAAAAGGAGGUGCCAAGGACACCUCCCAAUUUCCUGGCCUGGACAAAGGCAAGUCAGGGGCUUUGCCAUUUGAUGAGAUGGAGCAAGAUGUUUUGGGGAAGCCAGUGCUGUUUGGUUGGAUGAAUGAAUGUCCUGGAGUUCAGGAUGUCUUUGCUGAAGGUCCAGGGAUGAAAGUUACAGAUGUGAGACCUGGUGAGAUUUGGGCUAUGGGACUAGUUGCCUUGCCUGGAAGGACCAAAGAGAAGCAGAGUGAGAUGGGAAGGAGGGAAUCAAGAGAGUGAGGAGCAUGGCCACCAGAGAAGAGAGAAAAGGAACAGGGGUGGUAACCAUGUCAAAAGCAGUUGUAUUAUUUAGGGUCUCUAGAAGAAGAACACUGGCAGGAUGAAUAUAUAUAUUUUAAAUCAGAUGUAUUAGAUUGGCUUACAAAUACGGUCUGGGCAGUCCAAGAAUGCCUGUCUUCACAAUGGAGAGGCUGAGAACCCUGGAGCAGCUCAGUCCAUAAGUCUGGAUGCUUCAGUGAUCCCAAUCUGUAGCCAAAUACCCGGAGAAUUCCUGGGCAGUCACUGGUCUUCAGGCUACACUGGAAGCCUAAAAAGGCUGGGUUGUGAUAUUAGUGAAGGAAUGUGGAAGCAGUAAUAGCAACAACAGAGUAGAUGAACUCAUCAGCAAGACAUGAAGGCAACGAGGCAAAAAGCAAAGGUUUGUUUUUUUCCCUUAGAGACUCUUUUUAUGUGGUUCCCACCAGAAGUUGCUGAUCAAAUUCAGGAUAGGUCUUUCCACUUCAAGUCACCUGAUCAUGAAAGUCCUUUCACAGAUGUGCCCAGUGACUUAUAUAUUACUUGAUUUCAGAUAUGGCCAAAUUACAAUCAAGAUUAACUAUCUAUCACAAGUCUACCGCUUGUCAACUUGACACCCAAAAGCAUCUAUUUGAAGCUAUAACUCUCCCCCCUUUCUCCUUAUAGGUUCACAACCAUAUUAUAAUGCAAAAUUCAUUCAGUCCAACUUUAAAAGUUCCUGAAAUCUUUAAUAAUUUUACUACUUUCAAAGUCCAAAGUUUCUAACCUGUGAGUUCCUAAAACAUAAAAAAAAAAAGCAAGUUAGACCCUUCCACAAUACAAUGCCAGAGUAAGCUUUCUUACCCUGAAAUGAAGAUCAUGGUGUAGCAAGGAGUAAUCAAACCAAAACACAGCAGGGAAACCUCCAAAUCCUGCAACUCCAUGACUGGCACCUGGGGCUUGUGAUGAAGUUCCAAACUCUUCAACAGUCCUUCCACAAACCAGUUUCAAAGACCCAUGGUCAGAUUUAGCUCAGCAGCAACCCCACUUCUGGUACCAAUUACUAUAUCCUAUUCCAGUGCUUGGCAUAAGAGUUAGUGCUUUUGGAGCCUAUGACAGACUUCUUGGCUUGCAGAGGAUGAAAAGAUGGCUGGGCAGGAGCACGGUGAAUAGUAAGUGGACAAGUGAAUAGUGGGAGGAGUCUAAAUAGAUUGUGGGGGAAUUGUAGAUGGGUAAUCUUUAAGAUUAUAGUCUUCAAACCAGUCCUUUGAUCCCAGCACUUGGGAGGCAGGAGCCAAUGUUGGAGUGUGAAGUCUGGGACAGUAGGUGCUCAGUCCAGCUACAGUGAGUGAAUUAAAGGGCAAGAAGAGGGCUGGAGAGAUGAGUCAGCAGUCAAGAGUGUUCCAUGCUCUGGCAGAGGAGUUUCCAGAACCCAUGUUGGGCAUCUUAUAAUCCCUAUAGCUCCAGCUCAAGGAGAUUUGAUGCCUCCAACAUCUACAGGCACUCGAGCUCACAUGCAAAACCCUCACACAGACAUACUUAGACAGGAAUUAAAAAAUUAACUUUUUAAAAAGGUGAAUAAGAGAGCUGGAAGGUGGUUUAGUUGGUAAGUUUCUUGCCUCAUGAGCAUGAGGAGCCGAGUUCUAGCCCCAGAAUGCACAUAAAAAUGAUGGGUUGAUGGCAUGUGCUUGUGGAAAGAGAAGGGCGGGGCUUGGAAUUCAAACUCACUCUUUGAUCUGGGAAGUAUGGAAGAGGAUCAGCUGGUCAUCUUUUCUCUUUCUUUCUUUUCUCUUUUCUUCUCCUUUUCUUUCUUUUUUUUUUUUUUUUUUUUUUUUUUUUUUUUUUUUUUUUUUUUUGAGACAAGGCUCUCUGUAGCUUUGGAACCAUGUCCUGGAACUCACUUUAUAGACCAGGCUGGCCUUGCACUCACAAAGAUCUGCCUGCCUCUGACUCCCAAGUGCUGGGAUUAAAGGUGUGUACCACCACUGCCUGGCUUCUCUGCCACUUUCGUAAUCUAUCAGGUUUUUAACCCCGAUAUUGGACUUCCGGGUUUUUAUUAAUAAUAGAACAAUUUAGAUAAACACGUCAAGGUUGUCCUCUGGUCUACACAUUCAUGUGUAAGUAUGUUCAGUCACACUUGCACUCACACUCAUGAACUCACACACACACACACACACACGCACCCACACACUCGUGUACACACACAUGAACUCAUUUAAAUACACAUUUAUUUAAGAUCGGGAGGGGCAAGAAGACAUGGGCCCACCCUCUGGAAGCUUAGUAGAGCUGAGAGAUCCAGAGGGAGGAGCUGUCCUAGCAUAGGAGAGAGGGAGUUAUCUGGAAGUGUUACUGUAGGUCAUCCAUCAAGUCAGGACCUACAUCCGAACUUGACCACAUCUGGACUGGAAUCUCGAUUUCUCUUUUCCAGGAUGUUCUGCCUAUGGGAACACAGCUUAGCUGAGGAAAGUAACCAGUGGGGCUAUGGCACUUUCAAGAGUACAGAUUUCAAAACAGUUUAUUAUAGUAGUAUUAACAUUAUAUUGCUAAUUAUUAUUUUAAUUUUGUAGUUUGGUUAAAAUUCUAAGAUUAAGACUUGUAAGAUCUCCUCCUCAUUCUUGCCCCCAGCUCCACUGCUUCUCAUUCUGGAAGCAAACCAUCUUCCUGUUUCUUUCAUGACAUAAAUUCUGUGCUAUUUUUCUUUGUUUCAGUUAUUUGAGGCAGGGUCUCACUAUUCAGACCAGGCCUUAAACUCACAGAGAUCCACCUGCUUCUACCUCCUGAGUUCUGGCCUUAAAGGCAUGCACUACUAUCCCUGACAUAAAUUCUGUUUGUUUCCUAUAUUUAUACAUAUGGACACAUACUACUGUCCUUUAGACAGCUUCUUUCUUUCCUUCUUUCUCUUUUUAGAGUGUGUGUGUGUGUGUGUGUGUGUGUGUGUGUGUGUGUGUGUGUGUGUUACUUUACCUACAUGUAUGUCAGAGGGAGAGGCUUCCUAUAGAGGGGAAGGAGCCAUGUAUGGGAGACGGGUGACAAUGUAGAGAUUUAAGAGUCCAUGGGUGUGUGUAGAGGGAGACGGGGCUGGGUAGAAUAAGCACCACAGUCUCUCUGCUGGCCACUUGCAUGCCUGGUGCCCAGGGAGGCCAGAAGCGGAUGAGAAUGUCAGAUCCCCUGGAAUUGGAGUUGUAGAUAGUUGUGAGAUGAUGGGGGAGAUCCUUCUGUCUGCUGUGAAUAUAUGUUUCUCUUAUUGGUUGAUGAAUAAAGCUGUUUUGGCCAAUGCCCAGGCAGGAUUUAGACAGACAAGAAAUCUGAACAGAGAUAGAGAAAGGUAGUAGGUGGGAUCAGGGAGACUCCAUAUAGCUACUGGGAAGAUAGGAUACCAGACAUUCUCUGGUAAGCCAAGACUGUGUGGAGAUACACAGAUUAAUAGAAAUGGGUUAAUAAUUAAGACAGAGCUAGCCAAUAAGAAGCCUGAGCCACCAGCCAAACAGUUUAUAAUUAAUAUAAAUCUCUGUGUUUAUUUGGGACUAAAGGGCUGCGGGACCAGGCGGGACAGAAACUUCCAUCUACAGUGAGUUGCCAUAUGUGUGCUGUGAAUCCAACCUGGGUCCUCUUAACUGGUGAGCCAUCUCUCCAGCCUCUUUUUUUAGGGUUGCCCAGGCUGGUCUUGAAUUCCGGGUGUAAUCAAGGCCAUCCUUGAACAGCCUCUUACAUGCUAGGUGUGCUCCACCACACCUGGUUCCUUCUGGUUUAACCAGAUGUCUUGAAGAGGAUUGGCUCUCUGUUCAGAAGGCCCUUCCUGUGAGUCCUUUCAAGUUAUAGCCCCACGGCAGGAAUGCAGACAUUUGCUCUCCCCUCUGUGACAGACAUUCAGGAUGUCCAAGCUUCUGCGGUAUAAGCAAGGCUGGUGUUCACCAGAUGCUAUGCAAAAAAACUCGUGGAGCCAAUUACCUACACACAGACUCUCUAAGUCAAAAGUAUGUUUGUACUUUCACAGGAACCCUUCCAUGGAGCUUGUCCCCAGCCACCUCUGUUUUCCCACAAUUUCCACAGCACAGGCAGUUCUACAAACUUCCGAUCUUUGCCAAAUUGGAAAAAUGGAAGUAGGUGUCUUUCCUAGAGCCUUCUCUGCUUCUGGCGGGUGGGUGAAUCUUUCUGUAUUCCACCACCCUGCGGGCAGAUGUGCAGGGACGGAGUUGGUGACUGGAGCACGCUUGUUGGAAGGAGGCACCCCUAGUGAGGAAGGGGCUGUGGCCAGCAGAGAGACCCCGCGGCUUCCUCUGUACAGCCUUCCUCUUCCUCCAUACACACACCCUUGGGCUCUCAAGCCUCCACAUUGUCACACAACACUCAAAGCUCCUUCUCCUCCGUAGGAAGCCACUCCCUCUUCCUGUCAUUCAACAUUUCUUUGGCUCCGGGAUUCCAGAAGUCUGGGCUAGGGAGAUAGCCCGUCCUUCCGUUAGAAGAUAAAAGACUCUGAGGCAGUCUGUCCUACCCUAAGCCGUGGAGCCAUGAGCAGAACCAAUAUGUGGAUACUGGUGUGUCUGGCAGGAAUGGAUAUCAUCUCCAUGGCAACUCCAAGCGUCAAGACUCCUGACUAUGCAGUCGGGGCAGUGAUAAAGGAGCUGAUCCUUGCUGAGUCACCUUCCACACCUACCCUACUCUCUGGACUCCGGCUUCACAUAUUUUGUUCUCACCCUUGAACCUGCCAAGCUCCCCCUGCCUUAGCGCCUCUGCCCUGUGGUCCUAUCUUUCUAGACCUCUCUUCCCAAGACCCACAUUCGAAGUAUACACCUUCCCCGCCCUCCCCCACCCCACCCCCGUCUCUCACGGUUUGGCCUGCUCUUUUAGGUGUUGAGUGUUGCCUGCCCCUCCUGCUAAUCUCUAAGACCCAUUUAUGCCUCACACAAGUCCAGGAGCUGAAGGUUUAGAAGAUGGAGUUGAAUGCAGUGCCUGGUGGAUCCUGAGUCUCCUGUAACUCCGAACUGUUGCUUGUCACCCUGUAAGCUCCAGUGGCCAUCGCUGUUGUAUCUGGAGGGAACAACCUCACCUGGCAGCUCCUGGAGAAGUAUGGGGUGGUGUGCCAAACAGGGAUGUUGGAGAAGCAGAAGGAGUGAGUGGAGCAGGCUGCCACAGCCGGAAAGAGGUCUCAGGCUGUUUUCUGUGGCUAUAACUGAACAAUAUAGACUGAGUUGUUUGCAAUGAGGAGAUUAUUGUGUGGUUUGGGCUUGGAGCCUGCGAAGUCUCAGGGCAUGGCACUGCACUGUGCUGUGUGGCUUUGGGGUAGGAACAUAACUUUUUUUGUUCCCACAUCACUUGGAGAGGGCCUCCACAGCAACAUGAGACACCUUUUACAACAAAGCCACUCUGCUGGAAGCCAAUAGCCCCUCCUCCCCCCAGUGUAUGGAAGGAUGAAUUUAUUCAGGAGGGCAGAAUCCUCAUAACACAAACAUGCCGCCUUCAAAUAAUACCAUUACCAUGUGCCUUGGGAGGGGGUUAAGUUUCCAAAACAUGACAUGAUCAUAGGCCCGGAAGUGGGUGUUAUGCCUCAAGUUUUGGGGAGUUGGGGACAGGAGAGAUGGUCUGGUGAUAAUAAACAUCUGUUGCUCUCCCAGAGGACCAGAGCUUAGAUCCCAGCAUCCAUAUCAUUAGAUGGCCCGGCUGCCUAUAGCUCUGGGGUAGCCACGUGCUCAUGCAUAUCCACACAAGCUGACACACAUAUCCACAUAAAUAAAAAUAAGAAUCUUAGAUUUGAAACUGGGGCUCAGAGAGUGAUAAACCUAAGACCACCAUGUUGGUCAUUGUGCUUCCAAAGCUACCAACACACAUCAAGGAGUGAUGUCAUAUGCCUGUAAUCCAGUACUUGGGAGGUAGAGGCAGGAGGGUUAUCCUGGGCUACACAGUGAGUCCAGCCUGGGUUACAAUAGAGUCCGUGCAGACAAAUGAAAGCACCUAGAACAGUGUCUGUAGACUGAAUGAGCAAUUUACAUUUUCACAUCUAAGCACUGAAGGUUUUGUCAGGGCUUAGAAUUUGGGGAUGUACCUGGGAGCAUCCCAAGUAUGUGGGCCAGAGCUGUAGCCAGGCUUCCUGUGUUUCCCCUGCGUCUGAGUCUCCUGGUGAAGAAAUCCAUGUUGACAGGGUCAGGAAUCUCUGAGCUGGGUGGUCUUUUCCACACAGCGUCCCCCCUCCACCUCCAGUCCUCUGGAGUAUAUGCUGAGGAAGCCUUUGUCCUGUAGCUGAAAGAAGCUUUGCAUAGGUACGAGGCCUAACUUGCGGCAGUAGGGGCAGGACAGGAACAAAGACGGAGGCCUGGGAGGGAGAUGCCCAGGCUGUGCUCUUGGGAUACAUGCUGUAGCUGACAUCUGGCUGGGCAGGCACAUGUGCAGGCAUAUGUGCACACACAAACCCACCUCCUGCCCUUCCACAUAAGUCACACUCGUGUUCACAGGCCUUGGGUCAGUCCAUAUUCCAGGAGUCCUCUUAGUCCCCAGGCUGCGGCAGGAUCAGGUCAAGUGGUACACUCAGUACUCAGUGCCCAAUCUGAGCCACCUAAAAUAGCUAAAUCUCUCUCUCUCUCUCUCUCUCUCUC
RNAcentral lists this long non-coding RNA (8136 nucleotides) under Cricetulus griseus (Chinese hamster). RNAcentral describes it as "lncRNA (ENSCGRG00015042559.1)". Lineage: Eukaryota; Metazoa; Chordata; Mammalia; Rodentia; Cricetidae. The record is from RNAcentral.